AUUGAACGCUGGCGGCAGGCCUAACACAUGCAAGUCGAGCGGAUGAAGGGAGCUUGCUCCUGGAUUCAGCGGCGGACGGGUGAGUAAUGCCUAGGAAUCUGCCUGGUAGUGGGGGAUAACGUCCGGAAACGGGCGCUAAUACCGCAUACGUCCUGAGGGAGAAAGUGGGGGAGCUUCGGACCUUACGCUAUCAGAUGAGCCUAGGUCGGAUUAGCUAGUUGGUGGGGUAAAGGCCUACCAAGGCGACGAUCCGUAACUGGUCUGAGAGGAUGAUCAGUCACACUGGAACUGAGACACGGUCCAGACUCCUACGGGAGGCAGCAGUGGGGAAUAUUGGACAAUGGGCGAAAGCCUGAUCCAGCCAUGCCGCGUGUGUGAAGAAGGUCUUCGGAUUGUAAAGCACUUUAAGUUGGGAGGAAGGGCAGUAAGUUAAUACCUUGCUGUUUUGACGUUACCAACAGAAUAAGCACCGGCUAACUUCGUG
Molecule: ribosomal RNA, 484 nt
Filed under: uncultured bacterium
Lineage: Bacteria
Description: partial 16S ribosomal RNA
Rfam family: Bacterial small subunit ribosomal RNA
Source: RNAcentral